This 2450-nucleotide long non-coding RNA is filed under the name Anser cygnoides (Swan goose). RNAcentral's name for it is "lncRNA (ENSACDG00005017257.1)". Lineage: Eukaryota; Metazoa; Chordata; Aves; Anseriformes; Anatidae. The record is from RNAcentral.
CCCCAGGGCCCCCACCUGCUCCUCGUAGAUCUUCUCGCGCCGGUUGGCCACCUCGUUGCGGAUGAUGGUGCCGAUGUACUCGAUGACCAUGGUGUGCUUCUCGAUGUCCUUGGCGGCGUAGAGCCCCAGGCCCUGGAUGCGGGACCGCGCCAGGCCCUGGGGCUCACCGAUCGCAGUGCCGGCACUGGAUGAGCAGGUCGUCCUCCACGUACUUCUCGCGGCAGAAGGGGCAGACGACGAGGCUGGCGCAGGGCGCGCAGUGCGUGUAGUUGUUCUGCCACUCGCAGUGGAAGCCGGGGGAAGCCGCCCCGCACUGCACGCAGCACACGCACCUGGGGGGGGGGAGGCAGAGCAGAGGGCUCAGCACUGGCCCCUCGCCACCCCCACAGGGCUCCCCAGGGCCCCCCACGCACCAUUUGCACUUCCAGCCCCCCUUGGGCACGGUCUGCAGCGGCGGGUCCAGGCAGUACGUGUGGUAGCUGAUGUCGCAGUCGUCGCAGAGCAGGAGCCGGGAAGGGUCGGAGGCUUUGCCGCACACCUCGCAGACGAUGCACUCCACGCAGCGCCAGCCCUUCAGCAGCAUCACCUUCGUGAUCUGGGGGCGGCAGGGCGGCCACGUGAGCCUCGGCACAGCCACGGGGGUCCCGGGGGUGGCACGGCCACAGGGGACGCCCCAAAGCAUGCGGCAACACAUCCACGGGGAUGUGCCCAGCACCACCCCACGCCCCGAAGCUCCCAGCCUGAGCCCCCCAAGGGGCACAGCCUGGCAUGGGGGGGAUGCAGCCUUCCUCACCUUGCUGUUGACGCAGUAGGGGUGGUAGCACUGGGAACACUGGGAGCAGGCCAGGAGGUGACCCUCGGCCCCGCGCCCGAAGCUGCCGCACACCACGCACAUGUCCUGCAGGAGGGGGGCCGUGAGAGGAGCCGGGGGGGGGGACGACAGGCGCCCGUCCCACCCGUCCUGCAGCACCCCGGUUACCUGCAUGAGCACAAACUUGUCGGUGUUGGAGAAGAGGACGACCGUGUUCUGCAUCGUGUCGUCGUCGUCCUCGUCUUCCUCCUUGCUGGGCGAGCUCUCCACGUCGGCGAGCUGCGGGUAGAGCGGGGGGCUCAGGGCAAGGGGCAAAGCUGGGGGCUCAGGGCCAGGGCCCCCCCCUGCUUGCCACGCGGCUUGGGGAGCGCUGGCCACAGCCUGGUGCUAAACCGGGGCACGCGAGAACAUCCAAGAGCAGCAGCCCCCUGCCUGCAAGCCAGCCCCUCCCCGGCAGCCAGCUCCGCACCAGCCCUACCCCGGUGGGGUGAAGCCCCCAGCCCCGCAGCGCAGCCCCAGGCAGACCCCCCCGGGACCCCUGCCCGCCCGUCGGCCCAAGGGCUCCCGAGCCUUUCCAAGGGAUUGGGGUGCUGGGGAUGGGGACGGAGGGGACUCUCGGCUCUCAGCCCUGCCACCUAGCAGCUCGGGGACACCCCCGGGGCCCCCCGCCUCUGCCCCCAGCCCAGCCUUACUGCUAGGGUGUCAACGGACGAGGUGGUCGACUUCAGGCGUGCACGGCCCCGGCCCCGGCCCCCGUGGGACCCACCUCGGGGGCGCCUCCGCCCAGGGAAGCUGCUGCUGCGACCCUAGGGCCAAGGGGAGAGGGGGGGGUUACGGCAAGCUGGGGGCGACCCGGCCAGACCCCCCCCCACCAUCGCGCGCGUCCCGGCUGGGGCAGAGGCAGCAGAAGGGCACGGCCCCCGUCCCACCCCAUCGCGCGCACGCGGCCCUCGCCUACACGGGGCAGCCCGGGGAAGGGGGGCACGGCCCCAGCGGGGUGGGGCGGUGGGGUGGGGUCCCCCCCCUCUGUACCUGCUUGACACGGGAGCGCCCCGGGGAGCUGCGCCGCCGGCUCUUGUCCCCAUCCCCUUUGGCGGCCGGCUCGAAGAGCAGCGAGUCGUCGGUCUCGGCGCCCAGCGGCAGCGACCCGGCGUCCUCCUUCUGCAGGCUGGCGUCGGCCGAGGCCAGCCCCAGCUCGAGGGACAGCGAGCCCCCGCCUUCGGGGUCCGGCGAGCCCAGCAGCGGCUCCGAGCCGGGGAAGCUGCUGCUCGUGUCCCCCUGGCUCAGGUUGGAGAUCUCGUUGAGGAUAUCGGGCCGGGGGCGCAGGGCGGGGGGCUCGGGGCCCCCCUCGUCGCCGCGCUCCAGCAGCUUCUCCCCAGCCGGGCACACUUCCAUGGGGGUCUCGGGGCCCAACUCCUCCGGCUCCAGGAGCAGGGGGGACCCCUUGGAUUCAGGGUCCCCCCCCGCCCGGCCUUCCUCCAGCCCGUCCUCCUCGCUCAGCGGCGGGGAGCUGCCACUGGUGCCCUCCCGCUCCAGUCUCGGCGCUUCUUCUUCCUCUUCCUCCUCUUCCUCAGGCAGGCCCGGGAAGGACCCCAGUUCCGGGGCUGGGCUGAUGUGGGGGCCAUCUCCAGGGGGGCUG